UGACGGUACCCGCAGAAUAAGCCCCGGCUAACUUCGUGCCAGCAGCCGCGGUAAUACGAAGGGGGCUAGCGUUGUUCGGAAUCACUGGGCGUAAAGCGUACGCAGGCGGAUUGAUAAGUCAGGGGUGAAAUCCCGGGGCUCAACCUCGGAAUUGCCUUUGAUACUGUCUGUCUCGAGUUCGGGAGAGGUUGGCGGAAUUCCUAGUGUAGAGGUGAAAUUCGUAGAUAUUAGGAAGAACACCAGUGGCGAAGGCGGCCAACUGGCCCGAUACUGACGCUCAGUACGAAAGCGUGGGGAGCAAACAGGAUUAGAUACCCUGGUAGUCCACGCUGUAAACUAUGGAUGCUAGCCGUUGGGGAGCUUGCUCUUCAGUGGCGCAGCUAACGUCUUAAGCAUCCCGCCUGGGGAGUACGGUCGCAAGAUUAAAACUCAAAGGAAUU
Molecule: ribosomal RNA, 440 nt
Filed under: Rhodomicrobium vannielii
Lineage: Bacteria; Pseudomonadati; Pseudomonadota; Alphaproteobacteria; Hyphomicrobiales; Hyphomicrobiaceae
Description: bacterial SSU rRNA
Rfam family: Bacterial small subunit ribosomal RNA
Source: RNAcentral